UUGAAAGGACCAGAUCUUAAAUUUCUCCCCUCUCCAGCCACCGUGUAAAGCCGGUGCCGUCGCCGGUUGCCGGCGACUGACACGGCGGCUGAUGGUCGUACCUCUGGCCGAUUUUUGGGGAGAGAACAGGGGUCUGGGAGUUUUUUUUAGUUUUUUUUUGUUUUAAGAAAAGGAAAAAUGAAAGAAUUAGAAGAGAUUUGGCUUUUAUAGCACUACUAAAACGACGUCGUUUCACUUGGGGGAUUUUAGUGCAAAACGGCUCCGUUUGGCGCAACCUGACCUGUACCCAAGGAUCCGCGUAUUUCCAUACUAAUGGGAUAUUUAUUUGGCGAGUCCUUCUAUUUCUCUCGUGAUUUUCAAUCCUAUCCUCUC
RNAcentral lists this long non-coding RNA (372 nucleotides) under Gossypium raimondii (Peruvian cotton). RNAcentral's name for it is "long non-coding RNA (GRAI_LNC003593)". The record is from RNAcentral. Lineage: Eukaryota; Viridiplantae; Streptophyta; Magnoliopsida; Malvales; Malvaceae.